Molecule: ribosomal RNA, 693 nt
Filed under: uncultured bacterium
Lineage: Bacteria
Description: bacterial SSU rRNA
Rfam family: Bacterial small subunit ribosomal RNA
Source: RNAcentral
AACGAACGCUGGCGGCAGGCUUAACACAUGCAAGUCGAACGCUGUAGCAAUACAGAGUGGCAGACGGGUGAGUAACGCGUGGGAACAUACCCUUCGGUUCGGAAUAACUCAGGGAAACUUGAGCUAAUACCGGAUACGUCCGCGAGGAGAAAGAUUCAUCGCCGAAGGAUUGGCCCGCGUCUAAUUAGCUAGUUGGUGAGGUAACGGCUCACCAAGGCGACGAUCAGUAGCUGGUCUGAGAGGAUGAUCAGCCACACUGGGACUGAGACACGGCCCAGACUCCUACGGGAGGCAGCAGUGGGGAAUAUUGGACAAUGGGCGCGAGCCUGAUCCAGCCAUGCCGCGUGAGUGAUGAAGGCCUUAGGGUUGUAAAGCUCUUUUACCCGGGAAGAUAAUGACGGUACCGGGAGAAUAAGCCCCGGCUAACUUCGUGCCAGCAGCCGCGGUAAUACGAAGGGGGCUAGCGUUGUUCGGAUUUACUGGGUGUAAAGCGCACGUAGGCGGAUUCUUAAGUCAGGGGUGAAAUCCCGAGGCUCAACCUCGGAACUGCCUUUGAUACUGGGGAUCUCGAGUUCGGGAGAGGUGAGUGGAACUGCGAGUGUAGAGGUGAAAUUCGUAGAUAUUCGCAAGAACACCAGUGGCGAAGGCGGCUCACUGGCCCGAUACUGACGCUGAGGUGCGAAAGCGUGGGGA